Long non-coding RNA from Vidua chalybeata, 2318 nucleotides. RefSeq lists it as uncharacterized. The record is from RefSeq and is a predicted model, not a curated record. The transcript is spliced from 2 exons. Lineage: Eukaryota; Metazoa; Chordata; Aves; Passeriformes; Viduidae.
UGCUCUGCCCUGAGCACUUCAGCACUGUGAGGCUUUUCCUUUAUGUGGCCUAAGGGGCCACCCCCAUCUCCAAAGCUGCCUCAAAAAGCCCUCCCAGCGCCUCGCUUUCAUCCUCUCUCAGGGUCCUAGACCUCAAAUUAUCUCUUGUACUUCCGGGGAUGAGAAUCGACGUCGGGUACGAAGGAAGGUGGCGUCGCCCGUUGGCAGUUUCCUUGAGUCACUGACUGUGGCCCCUUGCUCAGCUACAAUCAAGAACACCAAACAUCACUGCAUGAUCUUCGCUGCAUAGGGGCAAUAACCAACAAUUCUGCUACUCACCAUUCUCCUAAGAACACCUAUCUCCUUGGGCCGCACACUUCGGCUGAGCUCAGAGGCCGAUGCCUUUGUGGCAGGGUCUGCCUGGGUGAAGAGGAGAUGAGGUGAUGUGGCAUUGCUGAAACUCGAGUGGACCCUGGCUCCACCUCCUUAGUUCCCAAUGUGCACGAAGAAUCCACGUGGGAAAAGGAGCCACACUGCUAUACGCACUGCAGAGAAGGGGUGGACACACGGGUCAAGGGUGAAGAAAGUUGACCUUCAGAACCGAGCCCAGGAGUGGAAAAUCACCUCCUCCCCUGGAGAUUUGAAGAUAACCUUGCGCCGGCCAAGUAAAUGACCGAAAGUAACUCGGUCAAAUGCUCUGUGCCAGAUUGUAACUGUUACCCCUUUGUACAUUUCAUUUGUGAAUACUGUUAUAAGGGGUGGGUUGUUCACUGUCGAAGAGGAAUAGGACCUAGUGGGCUGUGUGCAAAGUGCUUUAAACAAGAACCAAACCUGACUAGCCGUUUUCUGGUAUUGGCCACCAGGCUGAGAUUUGAUUCAAUUGGAUUCAAUAAUUUGGUUUAGUCUAUAUCAAAACGGAUUGAGGGGGAAAUUACAAACAAAAGCUAAAAUCAUUACUGUUGAGUGCUGUAGGUUGAACAAGGUACCCUGCAGUGCAGAUCCUGUUGAAUUACGCUGGUGAGGCACCUUUAAGCGAAGGUAUGCAGCUCAGUCUUGGUACAAAACCACUGACGAAGAUUCCUGCUGCCAAGAAGAUGGUCUACCCCGCCGCUGGAGGCACCCCAGUGGGCACAGGGAACGGCAGAGGAAUCCUAGCAGUGGGAGUAAUCCUGACGAGCCGGAGUCUAGCCACGUGCCUCAGUAACCUUCCUAACCCUGAAACAGGGGAACCCGGUGACAGGUACCAGAAGGUCCAGUGCCCCUUACCCCAUGGAACUGCAGUAAGGGUAAGCCUAAUAAACCUUGUUUUAAAACAAACACUCAACAGGGGGCAUACAAAUUCAGGAAAAAUUAAAAGUAUACCUCGAAAAUGGACAGUCAGCACAUAAAUUGCACCGAAGGAGCACAGGGGAAAUUUCCAUUCCAGCUUGCAGCAAAUGUAACCGUACUGUAUGGAUUGGUAGGAAUCAAGAGUCAGUUUUUGUUGCUUAUUUUCAAGCCAAUUCACUGUGCUAUAACCCAAAUGAACUAGGUAUGUGUAUGAGGGGGGGAAAAACCUACUGGGUGGGAAAUAACCUAAUACUACCACGAAAUUCCAGGAGAAGACUUGAAUGUGGGGAAGUAAGGGAAAAAUAUGUAUUAAACUUUUUGUAUGCUCUGUAACCUUAUAUGAAAUAAAAUAAAAACUAUAGAAAUCAGUAGAGGUAAUAAGUAGGGCGCGAAUUAAUGGGUUAAUAUAAAAGGUGGGGGAUUGUUAUGUGUAACAGGUAUAAUUCGCGCCAUUUUUAGCAUGAUAUAUAUAAUAAAUAUUUGUUAGAAUGUACCCAUUUGUAUUAGAAGCCCCCCCCCCCCCAGGCAAAACCAGGUAUGGGUUGAAACCCGAUUUACAAGUAAAAGGAUGUGGCUCGCCAGGAGGUGGGCCUUAUCUGAAGCAAUACGGAGACACCCAGGCACUGAUCAUCGCGUGAAGGACCUGAGAUGGACAUCAGGAAAAUCCCCCGGGCUGAUACAUGUGGAUACCAUGUUCCCAUAAAUUUCAUCAAGGGUAUCAAGGACUCCGGACUUCGAAUUGUUCUACCUUGUUGCCAAGAAAGAAAUCUCAUCAACUUAUGGGACUCUGAAUGAAACAAAGGACUGAAUGCCGAAAUCCUGGCUUCAGGCAAAAUUUUCCGUAUAAAAAUCGCUUGUACCAGAAUGGUGGUGUGUGGGCAUAGAGGAAAACCUCCGCUGAGGCUGAUCUCUGUGUCUCGCACCCAGCGCCGAUCCCGGGCUCGGCGCUGCCCUUUUCCUUGUGGCUGGCUAGUUAGCUCUCGAUUGCUAAAAUAAAUUUUUAUUUUUAA